RNAcentral lists this ribosomal RNA (253 nucleotides) under uncultured bacterium. RNAcentral describes it as "partial 16S ribosomal RNA". It matches the Rfam family "Bacterial small subunit ribosomal RNA", at positions 524 to 776 of the family's 1533-position model. The record is from RNAcentral.
UACGAAGGGGGCUAGCGUUGUUCGGAAUUACUGGGCGUAAAGCGCACGUAGGCGGAUUUGUAAGUCAGGGGUGAAAUCCCGGGGCUCAACCUCGGAACUGCCUUUGAUACUGCAAGUCUUGAGUCCGGAAGAGGUGAGUGGAAUUCCUAGUGUAGAGGUGAAAUUCGUAGAUAUUCGCAAGAACACCAGUGGCGAAGGCGGCUCACUGGCCCGGUACUGACGCUGAGACGCGAAAGCGUGGGGAGCGAACAGG